Molecule: signal recognition particle RNA, 298 nt
Filed under: Aotus nancymaae (Ma's night monkey)
Lineage: Eukaryota; Metazoa; Chordata; Mammalia; Primates; Aotidae
Description: Metazoan signal recognition particle RNA (ENSANAG00000004306.1)
Rfam family: Metazoan signal recognition particle RNA
About the family: The signal recognition particle (SRP) is a universally conserved ribonucleoprotein.
Source: RNAcentral
GCUGGGUGCGGUGGCAUGUGCCUGCAGUCCCAGCUACUCGGGAGGCUGAGGUGGGAGGAUUGCUUGAGCCCAGGAGUUCUGGGCUGUAGUGCACUAUGCUGAUUGGGUGUCUGCACUAAGUUCGGCAUCAAUAUGGUGACCUCCAGGAGCAGGGGACCACCAGGUUGCCUAAGGAGGGGUGAACCAGCCCAGGUCGGAAAUGGAGAAGGUCAAAACUCCCAUGCUAAUCAGUAGUGGGAUCAUGCCUGUGAAUAGCCACUGCACCCCAGCUUGGGCCACAUAGUGAGACCCUAUCUCU